Molecule: ribosomal RNA, 470 nt
Filed under: uncultured organism
Description: partial 16S ribosomal RNA
Rfam family: Bacterial small subunit ribosomal RNA
Source: RNAcentral
ACUCCUGCGGGAGGCAGCAGUGGGGAAUUUUGGACAAUGGGCGAAAGCCUGAUCCAGCCAUGCCGCGUGCAGGAUGAAGGCCUUCGGGUUGUAAACUGCUUUUGUACGGAACGAAACGGCCUUUUCUAAUAAAGAGGGCUAAUGACGGUACCGUAAGAAUAAGCACCGGCUAACUACGUGCCAGCAGCCGCGGUAAUACGUAGGGUGCAAGCGUUAAUCGGAAUUACUGGGCGUAAAGCGUGCGCAGGCGGUUAUGUAAGACAGUUGUGAAAUCCCCGGGCUCAACCUGGGAACUGCAUCUGUGACUGCAUAGCUAGAGUACGGUAGAGGGGGAUGGAAUUCCGCGUGUAGCAGUGAAAUGCGUAGAUAUGCGGAGGAACACCGAUGGCGAAGGCAAUCCCCUGGACCUGUACUGACGCUCAUGCACGAAAGCGUGGGGAGCAAACAGGAUUAGAAACCCGUGUAGUCCC